This 467-nucleotide ribosomal RNA is filed under the name uncultured bacterium. RNAcentral's name for it is "partial 16S ribosomal RNA". It matches the Rfam family "Bacterial small subunit ribosomal RNA", at positions 28 to 507 of the family's 1533-position model. The record is from RNAcentral.
GACGAACGCUGGCGGCGUGCUUAACACAUGCAAGUCGAACGGAAAGGCCCUGCUUUUUGGGGUGCUCGAGUGGCGAACGGGUGAGUAACACGUGAGUAACCUGCCCUUGACUUUGGGAUAACUUCAGGAAACUGGGGCUAAUACCGGAUAGGAGCUCCUGCUGCAUGGUGGGGGUUGGAAAGUUUCGGCGGUUGGGGAUGGACUCGCGGCUUGUCAGCUUGUUGGUGGGGUAGUGGCUUACCAAGGCUUUGACGGGUAGCCGGCCUGAGAGGGUGACCGGCCACAUUGGGACUGAGAUACGGCCCAGACUCCUACGGGAGGCAGCAGUGGGGAAUAUUGCACAAUGGGCGGAAGCCUGAUGCAGCAACGCCGCGUGCGGGAUGACGGCCUUCGGGUUGUAAACCGCUUUCGCCUGUGACGAAGCGUGAGUGACGGUAAUGGGUAAAGAAGCACCGGCUAACUACGUG